GCUGGGUGUGGUGGCUCACCCCUGUAAUCCCAGCUACUCUGGAGGCUGAGGCAGGAGAAUCGCUUGAACCCAGGAGGUGGAGGUUGCAGUGAACCAAGAUCGCACCACUGUACUCCAGCCUGGGUAACAGAGCGAUACUCUGUCUCGA
This is an unclassified non-coding RNA of Macaca fascicularis (crab-eating macaque), 148 nucleotides long. It matches the Rfam family "Metazoan signal recognition particle RNA". Rfam says of the family: The signal recognition particle (SRP) is a universally conserved ribonucleoprotein. The record is from Ensembl. NCBI's taxonomy places the organism in Eukaryota, Metazoa, Chordata, Mammalia, Primates, Cercopithecidae.